CCUACGGCAGGCUGCAGUGGGGAAUAUUGGACAAUGGGCGAAAGCCUGAUCCAGCCAUGCCGCGUGUGUGAAGAAGGCCUUCGGGUUGUAAAGCACUUUCAGUGGGGAAGAAAGCCUUGGGGCUAAUACCCUCGAGGAAGGACAUCACCCACAGAAGAAGCACCGGCUAACUCCGUGCCAGCAGCCGCGGUAAUACGGAGGGUGCGAGCGUUAAUCGGAAUUACUGGGCGUAAAGCGCGCGUAGGCGGUCUGAUAAGCCGGUUGUGAAAGCCCCGGGCUCAACCUGGGAACGGCAUCCGGAACUGUCAGGCUAGAGUGCAGGAGAGGAAGGUAGAAUUCCCGGUGUAGCGGUGAAAUGCGUAGAGAUCGGGAGGAAUACCAGUGGCGAAGGCGGCCUUCUGGACUGACACUGACGCUGAGGUGCGAAAGCGUGGGUAGCAAACAGGAUUAAUCCCGAGUAGUC
RNAcentral lists this ribosomal RNA (463 nucleotides) under Vreelandella stevensii. RNAcentral's name for it is "partial 16S ribosomal RNA". It matches the Rfam family "Bacterial small subunit ribosomal RNA", at positions 338 to 795 of the family's 1533-position model. The record is from RNAcentral. Lineage: Bacteria; Pseudomonadati; Pseudomonadota; Gammaproteobacteria; Oceanospirillales; Halomonadaceae.